AACAUCAAAAGUGAGCGUACCUGACACCACCGUGUUCGAUGUGUCUGCCUCCUGCUGAGCCUGAACAAAGAUCCGAGCCGGAGCUGACGGACCUCCUCUACGGGAACCUGCUGGAGAAGAGGCUGACCCUCUCCCUCUGCCUCGACCACUACCCUGAAACAAGGCUGGAGCUACUGGCUGAGUCACUCUACCUGAAGCCAUCCGCUGAGACUGAGCCAUUCCGGGCGCAGUAGGACACUCACGUGCCAAGUGCCCCUCCUGUCUGCACCUGAAACAGGCUGUCGUCCCUGCCAGACAAACUCCCUUGUGUGGUUUCCCACACCUCGCACAUCUGGACUUACCCGAACCAGAGCUCGAACCACCAAAACC
Molecule: long non-coding RNA, 369 nt
Filed under: Manihot esculenta (cassava)
Lineage: Eukaryota; Viridiplantae; Streptophyta; Magnoliopsida; Malpighiales; Euphorbiaceae
Description: long non-coding RNA (MESC_LNC001296)
Source: RNAcentral